Myotis brandtii (Brandt's bat) is the source of this 76-nucleotide non-coding RNA. NCBI's taxonomy places the organism in Eukaryota, Metazoa, Chordata, Mammalia, Chiroptera, Vespertilionidae. The record is from Rfam.
GGCGGUUCUUGAGUGACACAUCCCGGAAUCAGGCUCCCUCCUCUCUGGUUCCAGGGUGCGUCACCCAAGAACCACC